RNAcentral lists this long non-coding RNA (290 nucleotides) under Setaria viridis. RNAcentral's name for it is "long non-coding RNA (SVIR_LNC007896)". Lineage: Eukaryota; Viridiplantae; Streptophyta; Magnoliopsida; Poales; Poaceae. The record is from RNAcentral.
UUUACUUGGUUAAGGCAUAAGUGUCGCAUAUCAGGCGGCUUAAUCAUGUUUAAUCAAGCAAAUCCGAAGUGGAUCCACCACAGCAUCUCCUCACCAGGAUCCCCAGCCGUGCCCCAACGCUUUCUGGCUUUUCUGUCGUACCUCAGUCGCGCUGCCCACGCGCGUCCCGCGACGAUACCGCCUUCGCCAACCACCGCGCAUGCAGUGACAACUCCUUUUCCCCACGCCUCACUAGCGUGUGCCGUGGCAGAGCUGCUAGUCCGUGCAUGCUCGCGUCGCAUCGCUCGCCC